GAACCGUCCAAACGUUAUUCGGAAUCACUGGGCUUAAAGGGUACGUAGGCGGCGCUGUCAGUCGGGUGUGAAAUCCCACGGCUCAACCGUGGAACUGCGCCCGAUACUGCAGUGCUUGAGGGAGACAGAGGUAAGCGGAACUGAUGGUGGAGCGGUGAAAUGCGUUGAUAUCAUCAGGAACACCGGUGGCGAAAGCGGCUUACUGGGUCUCUUCUGACGCUGAGGUACGAAAGCUAGGGGAGCGAAGGGGAUUAGAUACCCCCGUAGUCCUAGCUGUAAACGUUGAGCACUUGAUCGAGGGCCCCCCCAUAGGCUCUCGGUCGUAGCGAAAGUGUUAAGUGCUCCGCCUGGGGAGUAUGGUCGCAAGGCUGAA
This 373-nucleotide ribosomal RNA is filed under the name uncultured bacterium. Its description in RNAcentral is "bacterial SSU rRNA". It matches the Rfam family "Bacterial small subunit ribosomal RNA", at positions 527 to 898 of the family's 1533-position model. The record is from RNAcentral.